UGAUAAUGAUAUAAUUCCUUUAGAAUAAAAAAACAAACGUUUAAAGGCGUUAAUUAAAAAAAAAAACAUGUACAAGAAACAACAAACUACAAGUUCACUGAUUACUAACAAUAUUUUAUUUUACAAUUAUUGAAGCCUUCUUUUAAAUAGGGUAACUCCAAUAAGUCAAAAUGAGGACGUUAAUUGAUUUGUAAAAAAAGCGCCGAAAUCAAAAUUUCUCCGUUGAUCCAACUGAUACACCACAUUGGAAUUUGUAAAACAUGCGUAUUGCGCAGAAGAGAAAAUACCUUCGAAAUUCAACACUAUGAACAAAAAGAAUAUGUCCGCAAUCAACUAAAUGGUAAAAUAAACGAUGUCAUUUAGAAUAACAAAAGAUUGUAACGAAUACUCAAACUUCGAUAUCAAGCGUUCAGGGCGUUUAAGUUUUCUUAUUAGAAAAAUGUUAAUUUAUCUUAACGGAAUAACAAUAACCGUUGUGCCAAUCUAUCAGUUAAGCUUUUUGAAUUGCGUCAGUGGAGCCUCGCGGCGAUACAAAGGAAAUUUUUCGCCCGCCAUGUUGGCGUUGGUCUGAUAGGAGGGCGGACUUACCAUAAUGUAAUCACAAAAUUCUGCAACGUAGGUGAGCCAUCCACGAAAAUAAUUGUUACACCCGUGAUCGACGAGCAUUAAAUUGUAAUUAGGUACCUCACGUAAUGUAUAGUGCAUGAGCUAUAUCUAAUAUUUUACAGAACAUUUUCUCUCGACUCGCUCAAGGACGCACACACUUCUAAACAUGGCGACGGCUCCCGACAAAUUUCGACCGCGACCAGACCGAGAGCUGCUUGCUGCUUCACGUUUACACAAGCCACAGAGAGAUGUCGCUCCAACUAAAUGCUGAAUCUGCGAUUGGUUGGAAGCAACCGGAUACUUGGCAACGUGGCAGUGUGAAAUGUUCCUGAUUGGUUACUGGUAAAAAUAUUAAAAGGACUCCUUUUCCGACUAACAGAUCAAAUCAGCAACUAUUAUUUUUGGAUGUAAAAUGUACAUUCUAUGAAACUUACUGUGUUGGAAAUUAUUGUAUCUAUUAAAAUUACUAAUAAAUAAUACAGUUUAA
Molecule: non-coding RNA, 1093 nt
Organism: Osmia lignaria (orchard mason bee)
Lineage: Eukaryota; Metazoa; Arthropoda; Insecta; Hymenoptera; Megachilidae
Source: RefSeq, a predicted model, not a curated record